AAUGAACGCUGGCGGCGUGCCUAAUACAUGCAAGUCGUGCGGCAGCGAGCCCUUCGGGGUGUCGGCGAGCGGCGGACGGCUGAGUAACGCGUAGGAAUCUACCCCAAAGUGAGGAAUAACCUCGAGAAAUCGAGGCUAAUGCCGCAUAUGGUCUUCGGAUUAAAGGAUUUAUCCGCUUUGGGAAGAGCCUGCGUAAGAUUAGCUAGUUGGUGAGGUAAUGGCUCACCAAGGCGACGAUCUUUAGCUGGUCUGAGAGGAUGACCAGCCAGACUGGAACUGAGACACGGUCCAGACUCCUGCGGGAGGCAGCAGUAAGAAAUCUUCCACAAUGGGCGAAAGCCUGAUGGAGCAACGCCGCGUGCAGGAUGAAGGCCUUCGGGUCGUAAACUGCUUUUAUAAGUGAGGAAUAUGACGGUAACUUAUGAAUAAGGAUCGGCUAACUCCGUGCCAGCAGCCGCCGUAA
This 463-nucleotide ribosomal RNA is filed under the name uncultured bacterium. Its description in RNAcentral is "partial 16S ribosomal RNA". It matches the Rfam family "Bacterial small subunit ribosomal RNA", at positions 29 to 523 of the family's 1533-position model. The record is from RNAcentral.